This 497-nucleotide ribosomal RNA is filed under the name uncultured bacterium. RNAcentral's name for it is "partial 16S ribosomal RNA". It matches the Rfam family "Bacterial small subunit ribosomal RNA", at positions 28 to 507 of the family's 1533-position model. The record is from RNAcentral.
GAUGAACGCUGGCGGCGUGCCUAAUACAUGCAAGUCGAGCGAACGGACGAGAAGCUUGCUUCUCUGAUGUUAGCGGCGGACGGGUGAGUAACACGUGGAUAACCUACCUAUAAGACUGGGAUAACUUCGGGAAACCGGAGCUAAUCCCGGAUAAUAUUUUGAACCGCAUGGUUCAAAAGUGAAAGACGGUCUUGCUGUCACUUAUAGAUGGAUCCGCGCUGCAUUAGCUAGUUGGUAAGGUAACGGCUUACCAAGGCAACGAUGCAUAGCCGACCUGAGAGGGUGAUCGGCCACACUGGAACUGAGACACGGUCCAGACUCCUACGGGAGGCAGCAGUAGGGAAUCUUCCGCAAUGGGCGGAAGCCUGACGGAGCAACGCCGCGUGAGUGAUGAAGGUCUUCGGAUCGUAAAACUCUGUUAUUAGGGAAGAACAUAUGUGUAAGUAACUGUGCACAUCUUGACGGUACCUAAUCAGAAAGCCACGGCUAACUACGUG